Molecule: long non-coding RNA, 953 nt
Filed under: Fukomys damarensis (Damara mole-rat)
Lineage: Eukaryota; Metazoa; Chordata; Mammalia; Rodentia; Bathyergidae
Description: lncRNA (ENSFDAG00000027817.1)
Source: RNAcentral
AUGAUUAAAUCUAAUGGCUUUGACUUGAGGUUGGGAGAAUGGAAAAUUCCCCAGCCACAGGACAGAAUAAGGCCCGCUAGGCCCUGCCUCGGAGGAAGCCUGCCUGCCAUGGUGAAGGGACAAGAGGCACUGCCUGCUUUCUGUCGAGCUUUUGCUGCCCUCAGACCUCUGCCCAGCCCAUCUCCUGUCCUCUCAGACGCUGCUGCGCGGCCAUCGCUCUCCAUCUCCAGUGGCACCUCUAGCUCGCCAAGCUCCAGCCGAAGGAAAAGCGGUUGGCAGUUUGAAAGGGGAAGCGGAAAUAAGAACACACUCUCAUCUACACAGGCAUCUGCACAGGCCCCACCUCCGACCCGAGCCACAUCCUCUGGCUUAGGAGAAUGAAGAACAAAACAUCUGCCGAGCUCACAAGAAGGGAAAGCCUGACGCUCCGAGGCCAGACCACCAAGUCAGACUGCACAUCUACAGAGAACUGGAGACUGCGGCAUAGACCCUGCAGGAGUAGGCGCAGCAGAACCCAGUGAUGUGUGGAGACCAAGAGCAGGGUUACUGUGUCAGUUAAUCAGAAGAUGUGGGCCAACUCUGCCUUCAGAUCCAAAGGGGACCCGGCUCUGUGCAGGAGUCUCAGCUCCAGGGUGGUUCUCUUUGCCAGGCUUUGAGGAGAAAGAUGUACAGGUGGAAGAGAGAAAGAAGAGAAACUGCCUCAGAGAGACUCGGAAAGGAAGUUGACUCACACAGGAGAGAAAGUGAAACCGAAGCGAACGCCCACCCGAACGGAAAGAGGCAAACCUCUCUGGCUCAGAGAGGAGAUGGCUCAUCUUUCUCAGGCACCUGUCCCUGCCACAACCAUCCUCCCCCCACAGCUUGCCUUGCCCGCUUUAGAACAGAAGAGCAAACGAGACAAUGAGAUUUAAAUACUUAAAAGUAUUCUACAACUACCGAGUCUAACUGCUGCC